CCUACGGGAGGCAGCAGUGAGGAAUAUUGGUCAAUGGACGAGAGUCUGAACCAGCCAAGUAGCGUGAAGGAUGACUGCCCUAUGGGUUGUAAACUUCUUUUAUAUGGGAAUAAAAUGUUCCACGUGUGGGAUUUUGUAUGUACCAUAUGAAUAAGGAUCGGCUAACUCCGUGCCAGCAGCCGCGGUAAUACGGAGGAUCCGAGCGUUAUCCGGAUUUAUUGGGUUUAAAGGGAGCGUAGGUGGAUUGUUAAGUCAGUUGUGAAAGUUUGCGGCUCAACCGUAAAAUUGCAGUUGAAACUGGCAGUCUUGAGUACAGUAGAGGUGGGCGGAAUUCGUGGUGUAGCGGUGAAAUGCUUAGAUAUCACGAAGAACUCCGAUUGCGAAGGCAGUUCACUGGACUGCAACUGACACUGAGGCUCGAAAGUGUGGGUAUCAAACAGGAUUAGAUACCUUUAGC
RNAcentral lists this ribosomal RNA (457 nucleotides) under uncultured bacterium. RNAcentral describes it as "partial 16S ribosomal RNA". It matches the Rfam family "Bacterial small subunit ribosomal RNA", at positions 338 to 792 of the family's 1533-position model. The record is from RNAcentral.